UACGAAGGGUGCAAACGUUGCUCGGAAUUAUUGGGCGUAAAGGGCGCGUAGGCGGCCCGCUAAGUCGAACGUGAAAUCCCCAGGCUUAACCUGGGAACUGCGUCCGAUACUGGCAGGCUUGAAUCCGGGAGAGGGAUGUGGAAUUCCAGGUGUAGCGGUGAAAUGCGUAGAUAUCUGGAGGAACACCGGUGGCGAAGGCGGCAUCCUGGACCGGCAUCGACGCUGAGGCGCGAAAGCUAGGGGAGCAAACGGG
Molecule: ribosomal RNA, 253 nt
Filed under: uncultured bacterium
Lineage: Bacteria
Description: partial 16S ribosomal RNA
Rfam family: Bacterial small subunit ribosomal RNA
Source: RNAcentral